UUUACCCUGCCAUGUUCGUGGUAAGAAGCAAAAGUCCUUUGGUCGUAUUUAAAUAAUCAAUGGGGCCUCCCAUCAGAGGCUGAAGACAGGCCUUAACUGGAAGUCCGAAGCCUUGAUGUCGGUUCCAACUGUUUCUGUAAAAAGUUCAAAGGAACUGUUAUUCACGGCAUUACGGUGGGGUUUUU
RNAcentral lists this non-coding RNA (185 nucleotides) under Verrucomicrobiota bacterium. RNAcentral describes it as "Verrucomicrobia bacterium (freshwater metagenome) 6S RNA". It matches the Rfam family "6S / SsrS RNA". From Rfam's summary of the family: E. coli 6S RNA was the first non coding RNA to be sequenced, but its function was unknown until recently. Lineage: Bacteria; Pseudomonadati; Verrucomicrobiota. The record is from RNAcentral.